AUAAAAACUUAUUUGAUACAACUCUAUAUCUCUGUAUAAUUCCCAAAAGAUAGAAGGGGAAUAUAAAGAAGAGAAAAAAAGGAGAAAAAGAAGACAAAAAUGUCAAUAUAUUACAACAUGGAGAUGUAGAAACAGACCAGAAACCCAAUAUGAUUUAUGUAAAGCAGGCCAAAUCGAUGUCUACAUUUAAUCCCAUUGGUUCUAGUGUUUUUAGUUGGUGAAUCCAAAAGGUUUCUCUCUGGGAUAGAUUUUUUAU
Pelobates cultripes (western spadefoot toad) is the source of this 256-nucleotide non-coding RNA. Lineage: Eukaryota; Metazoa; Chordata; Amphibia; Anura; Pelobatidae. The record is from the annotation of a GenBank genome assembly.